RNAcentral lists this long non-coding RNA (2271 nucleotides) under Homo sapiens (human). RNAcentral's name for it is "long non-coding RNA NONHSAT171960.1". The record is from RNAcentral. Lineage: Eukaryota; Metazoa; Chordata; Mammalia; Primates; Hominidae.
GCUUAACAAUAGAUUUUAUUUUCCUUUGUCAAAGAUCCAAAGAGAACUGGAAAGAAAGUAUACACUCCUGUGGGAUAGAGACCACUCCUCUGAGGUCCCUUCGAGGCUUCUUCCUUCCCUGCCCAGUAGUCAAUGCUAAUGUUUCACAGGGUACUGAGGCUAGUCCUCUCCUCUUUCAAUUACAUCUGCUCUCUCCUCACUCAUCAGUCCUCCCUGCUAAGUCACCAUGUUUACACUGGCCACGUCCACAUCUCCAUCUUCAUCACCGUUGUACCACCUGAGCUCCAAAUCCCAGAAUCAUGGAAGAGAUCCUUCCUGUAUCAAGUCUGCAGCUCUUUCUCUUUUAAAGGAAUAUUUUAAUGGAGUUUACAAUACUUAAAUGAUGAGUUUUGACAGCACACUUCAGCCUGUGUUAUAUAUAUCCGAAAAGCCAGUCAAACGGAGGUCUCCUGGAAUGCUUCUCAGGUUUCCCUUGGUGCUCUGAGGGAUUCAGUUCACCUGGAGUUAUGAUUGAUUCUGAGCCUCAGGCAGUAAAUGAGCAGCUGUCUACAUAGACAUCUCCUUUAGUUUUUCAGUUAUUGCCAUGACAGUCUCAUGUACUUGCAGUGGAACUGUUAUGGGUAUAAUAGUCCUGUCAUACACAAAUUUUAAUUCAUUUAAUUUUUAAGGAAUUCAGUUUUCUAUCAGCAAGAAGGAUAUAAUUGAGUUUCCAUGAAGGUGUAAUUAAACACAGUGUAUCUUGGCCUUGCGGAGAUUUAACUCACUUCACACAGAUUUGUAUUCCAAUGCCUUCAAAUAAUUUCCAUCAAAAUAAUUGGUAUUUCCCUGGAAAAUAGUAACAGAAAACGUGUUCAUCAUGUCUUCCCCAAUCUUUCAAUGACUUAACAGUCCAUUACAGAGUUCCAGGCACUAGGUUAGAAACUGAGACUCUCCAAAUAAAUUAAAAACUCAACUGACUACAAAAGCUCAAUCCAGCGUUGUGGUUUGAGGAAGCAGGCAAAAAAGACUAAUCUACCUUGUAGAUUCAAAGAAACUAACAUGAUCUAUGAUAUAGAUGCUUAUCUCCCUUAUCUAAUUUUUUUGAGAAAACUACUUAGCAUGUUUCCUUUUUUCUCCUUUCUCACUCUUCACAUCUUUGUAAUUUGUCUUGGGCCCCUAAGCACCCCUAAAAAUGCUCCAACUAAGUCCACCAAUGACUUAUUCACUCAUUAAAAUUAUAUAGAUGCUUUAUCAAUUCUCACGGUUUACUUUACUUCCUUGAAAUGUAACUCUUGCCUUUACGUCUUUCUUGAAAUGUUCUUUUUCCUUGGUUUCUGUGGGAAUGAAUUCUCCCUCUGGGUUUCCUCCUACUUCUCUGGUAUUUCUUCUUAGUCCUCUAUCAAAUCAUAAUAGUUUUUUUUUCCAACUGGCACAAAAUUGUUUCUAUUCUGAAAGUAAACACACCAUAGAAAUAUACACCUUCUUAGACAUUCCAAAUGAAUGUUUCAUAGGCAACUUAAACUCUACACUGAAACAAUCAGACUCCAUAUUUUCUCCCCGGAACAGGUUCUUUAUACUGAGUUCCCUAUCAACCAAAGAUACCAUUGCCUUGAAGUUUCUCAGUACAGAAAUUGUGUAUUCUUCUUUGUGUUUCUUUGUAUCUGGCUCCCAUACCCAAGUAGUCAACAGUCUCCGUUUCUUCUGUCUCCUGAUAAUUGCUGACUCUCUAGACUUUUCUCCAUUCCCCUAACCUUUCACUGCAUUCAGAUCUCCACAAUGACUCACCUGUAAGUCUUAACUUCCAUUGGCCUGGUAAGAAAAUACAAAUUCUUAAUCCUUUACGUACUGACCUAUGCUUAAUUAUCCAGUCUAUUUUUUAAUUCUAUUCUUACCAUUGAAUUCUAUAUUUAAACCAAUUUGUUCUACCUGUAGUUUUCCUCAAAAAUAUGUUCUUCUGACAAGAGAAAGCAUUGAUUAUCGAUUUCCUAAUGAUAUAAAAUCUUUUUAUUUUGCCUUUUCCCUAUUUCUGCUUGGGUCAUGACCUUAACCCAACAAAGAAGAUGCCCUUCUUGCAUGGCCGUAUAUCUUGAGCUUAUGGAUGAUUUAUUGCAACUGGCUGUUACUUCUCUCCCUUGAGCUCAUGGAGGGUGUCUUGGUCCUGAUUAUAUUUCAAGCUGUAAGUAAUACAGUUUCUAAAAGUGUAAUAAGUUGUGUUGACUAUUGAGUGAAUCAAAGAGUAUCCAAAAUCCCACUGGGAGCACAGAGGAGGGAGCAGUACAUGCAGGUUCUGGA